RNAcentral lists this ribosomal RNA (2776 nucleotides) under Triticum aestivum (bread wheat). RNAcentral's name for it is "partial small subunit ribosomal RNA". Lineage: Eukaryota; Viridiplantae; Streptophyta; Magnoliopsida; Poales; Poaceae. The record is from RNAcentral.
AUGGCCGGCGGAGCGGCGGCGGCGGAGGAAGGCCGGUCCGGCGAGGGGGGCACGGUGGUGGUGGGCGUGCGGGCGGACGCGGAGAGCCGGGCGCUGCUCACGUGGGCCUUCGUCAUGCUCGCCGUCUACGAGGGCUUCUGCAACCUCAAGCAGAUCAAUCUCAAGGUGAAGAUUUGCAAGGGCUCGUCGGUCCGCAAGGCGCUGGUUCGCGAGGCCACCCUGUUCGGGGCCUCCAAGCUUGUCCUGGGCAUCACCAAGAGGAGGCNNNNNNNNNGGUCCUCCCUGUCAGUUGCCAAGUACUGCGCGAAGAAGCUGCCGGCAAAGUGCGCGGUGCUCGCCGUCAAUGGCGGCAAGAUCGUCUACCGGAGAGAGUCGAAUGCCCACUCGGGCAAGGUGUCGGCGGAGGUUCCUGCCUGUGGUGAUGAUGAGAUGUACUGUGUGCUACCGUUCGGUGCCCGUCAGCAGGGUGAAGAAGAGAGUGAGUUGCCUUGUGAUGAACCGAGCAAAGAUGGCGACGCCGCCGACGAAGAACAACAUGAUGUUGGUGCAAAGGGCAGUCAGCCAGAGGAAGAACAGCAGCCAUCAUGUGUGGAACCUGCUGAAUUGUCGACGGUUCAGGUUCAGACUGAAGCAGCAGAGCCUUCUGACAAGGACAAAGAGUCAACAAUGGGCCAGAAAGAUGUGGUCGCUGAUCUACCAGGCGAGGGUGCCAGUGUGCUGUACUGCGUGUUGCCGGAGAGGAGUGACCAUUCAGUUGCAAGUACUUCGAGUCACAAAGAUGAUGGGGAUCUGUUCUGCCGGCUCUCAAAGAAUGGUGGACAUUCAGGUGGGAGUUCUGGGGGAUCCAAGCGUUCCGUUGGUGUAAGAAGUGUGUUUAGGGCCAUCAGGCGGAGCAGUAGUUUCUCCAGUGAUAUUCCAUUGAGCUUUGAAACAUCUGCUGAUAAGAGAGAUGGCUCGGUUUCCAUGGGUGCCACCGAACGUUCUUCUUCCGCCGUAUCUACGGAACCUGAGGAUUUGCAAAAGGAAACACCUACUAGAAGGUCUGACGGCUGCCGCCUGCGAAGGAGAAUCUUCCACCAUGAAAGAACCUCAUCUUUUGAGUGGGCCAAAGUGUCCAUGGUUCAAUGGGCGAUGAGGCUCCCAAGCCGUUACAGUUCUGUCCACCCGGACAACAAAUCCUUAAAAUCUGAUACAAGUCCGAGGUUGCGUGGUGAUUCAGAAUGCGAUUCCACUUCCACUGCUGAGCCAGAAUCUAUAUUUUCUUUCUCUUUGUAUGAUGUGGCAUGGCCUCCCAGUGAACUGGGAUCUCUUCAAGAAGAGUAUUCUCCAGUAUGUAGGCUGUUUAGUUAUGAGGAGCUGAAACUUGCUACAUCAAACUUCUCACCAGAUAUGUUGAUUGGGAAGGGAGGAACUAGCCACGUUUACAAGGCACAGUUAUAUGAUGGCACCUUGUAUGCUGCAAAGAUUCUGAAACCUUCAGUUGAUGCACUUCAGGAGUUUAUUACGGAGAUUGAGACUGUAACCAACUUGCAAAAUGAGAAUAUUGUCUCACUAAGGGGAUUCAGCUUUGACAACUACUUCCUUGUGUUGGUGUACGAUUACAUGCACCAGGGAAGCUUAGACAAAGCGCUUCAUGGCAAGUGUGAGUAUAGCCUUAGCUGGGAAAAGAGAAAUAAGAUAGCAAUUCACAUUGCAAAGGCGCUUGAAUUUCUGCAUCAUGGUGGUGUCGCGCAUUCUGUGAUUCAUGGAGAUGUUAAAUCUGCAAACAUCCUCCUCUCAGAGGAUUUCGAGGCCCAGCUGUGCGAUUUUGGGUUGGCAAAGAAAGUUUCAGCUUCAACCCCCCACCUAACAUGCACUGACAUCACAGGAACUUUUGGGUACAUGGCACCUGAAUAUUUUUCGCACGGGAAGGUGAACAAGAAAAUCGAUGUGUACGCUUUUGGGGUUGUGCUGCUGGAGAUAAUUUCAGGGAGAAAACCCAUUAUAACAGGGUGCGAGAAGGGCCAGGAAAGCCUGGUUGGAUGGGCAAGGCCACUACUUUCAAGUGGGGAGAUCAAGCAGCUGGUGGAUUCGGCUCUGGGGAACGACUACGACUGUGAUGAGAUGGAGAGGAUGACGCUCGCUGCCUCGCUGUGCACGAGGACAUCUUCCGAUUCCAGACCGGAAACACCACUUGUGCUGAAGCUGCUUGAGGGGGACGACGAGACGGUCCAAUGGGCGAGGUCGCAGAUGUGCGCGGGCUCCGACGUGUCGGACGAGGAGGCGAUGACCCCGCGCUCCAACAUGCAGUCCCACCUGAACCUGGCGCUGCUGGGUGUGGAUGAGGAGGACACGCUGUCGCGGUGCAGCACGGAGCAGACCGCCGACACCUCCGCGGACGGCGGGUACUGGAGCCGGUCCUCGAGCUUCGACUAGGCGAUCGAGCCAGCCGUCGCGUGGUUCCUGUACAGUUGCUGACGAUUAUUGUCAAUUGGUUGGAACGGGUAAUUGCUGCAGUGGAGGCAUCUCACGUCCGGGGGAGAUUCUUUGGUGGGUGCUUGGCUUGGCUUGCUCAUGUAGGAAGGUUUCUUGAGUGGGUGCUUGGCUUGGGGUGCUCAGCUCAUGUGUGUAUAUGCAGGGAGAGUGAUGUCUGAUGGUGUUGCUGUUGCUAAUUUGAAUUAGGAAGUUGCUUUUGUAGUUUUGUAGUAGCAGUUGUAGAUCUAUCUAUCUAACCUUUGCUGGCCUUGGAUGGCAAAGCAUUCUACGAUUAUGGUGAAUGAAUGUAUGGUUUCCUGGU